UGCACCUCUUCCUAGAGAUGCUGCCUGGCCUGCUGCGUUCACCAGCAACUUUGAUGUGUAUUGCUUGAAUUUCCAGCAUCUGCAGUAUUCCUGUUGUUUGCAUCAUCACAGCCAGGAUCCCUUCUCGCUCCUGCCCUCAGGAACGACGUACAGGAGCCUUUGGUUCCACACCACCAGGUUCAGGAGCAGUUAUUAUACUUCAACCAACAGGCUGAUGAAUCAGCGUGGACAACUGUGCUCCCCACAACUGUUUCUGCUGAUAUACCGUGGAGAGCAAUCUGACUCGCUGCAUUAACAUUUGGUAUGGAGGUGCCAACGUACAGGAUCGGAAAAAAAAAGCUUCUGGUUAAGAUGACGCUACCGAAUGUAUGUGACAUCUCUGGUAGUCAAAAGGCUAAGAAAUCUGACUAAAAACAUCACUAAAAAUACAUUUUCUGAGUGUUAUAGACUCAGACAGCUCCAUCAUGGGCACUAGGCUUCCCACCAUCGAGGACCUUUUCAAAAGGAGAUCCCUCAAGAAGGCGGCAUCCAUCAUGAAGGACCCUCACCAUCCAGGACAAGCCCUCUUCUCGUUACUACCAUCAGGAGGAGGAGGAGGAGGAGGAGAAGAUGACGGCACGUCGCAGCACGCACGGCCUCUCCGGUGAAUGAUAUCUGUAAUCUGUCAAGUAGGGGACCGGGCACAAUUCUGAUUUGAUGAAGACAGAUGUGAGAGUACGGAGGAACAUCUGGAGAAACUUCUGAAAUGCCCACUUUGCUGCCGCUGCUACUGGGUGGUAACCGGAAUCUCCAGAGCAGAAGGCCCUGAAUCCUCAGCUUUGCUUGCUUCAGCGGCCGGGGCGAGGUCAAAGGCGCUCGGCAGAGGAUGGUGCUCGGGAGGCUGUUUCGGAGGGGCUGGUCGGAGGCUCAAAGUUCUCGGACGGACGGACUCGGUGUCGGCUGUGGUCGGCUGCUUCCAAUGCAUCGGCAGCUUCUCCCUUUUGCAGCCUGAUUUUGGGGACACGGGAGUCGAUCGGGACCUGAGACUUUUUUUUUACUGUGCCCAUGGUCUGUUCUUUAUCAAAUUACGGUAUUGUUUUGCACUGCUGUAACUAUAUGUUAUAAUUAUGUGGUUCUGUCAGUGUUAGUCUUUGGUUUGUCCUCUUUUCUGUGAUAUCACUCUGGAGGAACAUUGUAUCAUUUCUUAAUGCAUGUAUGCAUUUCUAAAUGACAAUCAAAGAGGACUGAGUGUUCUCAUAAUCUAAUUAGAGAGACAGCACAGAGUAGACACUUCCCACUGCCCAGCAACCUCCGACCAACAUUUCCUCUCAGAUGUGCACACGUAUACAUAUUUUGCAAUGGGUGCACAAACGAACUUAGACUACGCACAAAAGGUUGUCACCUUUUACCCUGUUGGCAUGUUAAGUGUAUUUCACGAUCGUACACAAUCACAUUACCUUUUCCGGUUUCUGAUGCGGACAGUGUUGACAACGUAGAGUUUGCAGAUUUUAGAACUGGUUUAUUCAUACUGUUUUUAUUGAAGAAAUUAUUCACGUUGUCAUCACUGGGCAAAAAAAAAAUUGCACAACACAAGACUUUUGUGCACACUGGUCAUUACAAAUUAGAGGGAACGUUGUCCCCAACACCUCUAUUUAACCCUAACCUAAUCAUGGGACAAUUUAUACUGACUGAUUAACCUACCAACCCUUAUGUAGAAGGAAACCAGAGCACACAGAGGAAACCCACACUUUUCACAGGGAGGAUUCCUUACAGAAGCCACCAGGAUUGAGCUCUGAACUCUGACGCCCUGAGCUGUAAUAGCGUUGUGCUAACUGACAUGCUACUGUGGUGCCCAAAACCAACACGUAGUCAGCAGGAUUUGAACCUGUGCAGGAAGACCCCAGUGGAUCUCUAGUCUAUCGCCUAACCCCUCGGUCACAACUACUGAAACAACAAGUUUGUGGACGAUAUGGCGGAGGAGGGGGGUGGUGCUGAGGAAGCUGAGAGGCUGCAGAAGGACUUAGACAGAUUAGGAGAAUGGGUAAAGAUGCAGCAAAUGGAAUGCAGUGUCAAGAAGUGUAUGGUCAUGCACUUUGGUAGGAGAAAAGCAUAGGCUGUUUUCAAAACAGGGCGAAAAUUCAAAAAUCUGAGGUGCAAAGGGACUUAGGAGUCCUCCUGCAGGACUACCUAAAGGUUAAUUUGCAGGUUGAGUCUGUGGUGAGGAAGGCAAAUGCAAUGUUAGCAUUCAUUGCAAGAGGUCUAAAAUUCAAGAGCAGGAUGUAAUGCUCAAGCUUUGUAAGGCACCGCUGAAGCCUCACUUGGAGUACUGUGAGCAGUUUUGGGCCCCUUAUUUAAGAAAGGACGUGCUGACAUUGGAGAGAGUUCAGAGGAAGUUCAUGAGAAUGACGCAGGGAAUGAAGUGUUUAUCGCAUGAUGAUUGAUUGAUGGCUCUGGAUCUUUACUCGCUGGAAUUUAGAAGAAUGAGGGGGGAUCUCAUUAAAACCUAUCAAAUGUUGAAAGGCCUAGAUAAGGUGGAGAUGUGGAGGGGACUUUUCCUACAGUGGGGGAGUCUGGGACCAGUGGACACAGCCUCAGUAUAGAGGGACAUACAUUUAUAACGGAGAUGAAGAGGAAUUUCUUUAGAGGGUGUGAAUUUGUGGAAUUCAUUACUAUAGGUGGCUAUGGAGGCCAGGCCAUUGAGGUUGAUAGAUUCUUGAUUAGUCAGAGUGUGAAGAGUUACAGGGAGAAGGCAGGAGAUUGGGUCCAAAAGGGAAUUGGAUCAGCCUUGAUUAAGUGGCAGAGUAGACUUGAUGGGCCAAGAGGCCUAAUUCUGCUCCUAUGCCUUAUCAUAUUAUGGUGUUAUGAAAUGGACAGUUAACUUUUCUGGUUGGAACCCUUCAUCUUGGUUCAGGAUUCAUGUUCAGUAUUAAAUCAGUAAACGUAAGGAGGUAAUAUAUGUCCUAGGAUACACUUUGGAUCGAAAGGUUAUUUCGGAAGGCAGAGGGAGCGGUGUGGCUCUCUUGGUAAAAAAUCAAAUCAAAUCACUAGAAAGAGAGAGUGAGAAGGUGUUGAAUCAUUGUGGAUAGAGCUAAGGAACUGAAAAGGUAAAAAGACACUGUUGGAAUUUGUAUACAGACCCCCAAACAGUAGUAAUGAAGUGGCCUACAAAUUACAAUGGGAGAUGGAAAAUGCAUGCCAAAAGGGCAAUGUUACAAUAAUCGUGGGGGACCUCAGUACGCAGGUUGGUGCUAGAUUACAGGAGGGAGAAUUUCUAGAGUGCCUACUAGUUGGCUCUUUAGGGCAGCUCGUGGUUGAGCCCACUCGAGAAUCAGCUAUUCUAGAUUGGGUGUUGUGCAACGAACCAGUAUUGAUUAGAGAGCUUAAGGUAAAAGAACCCUCAGAGGAAAGUGAUCAUAAUAAGAUCAAAUUCACCCUGAAAUCUGGGAAGAUUAAAAGUGAGAAUUUAUCUCUGUAAUUAGUUUUAUCUUCUGAAAAUAAAAUUCCAGCUGUAGAACAUCAAAACUACCAUCUUUACUCUUCCAUUUUGCUUCGUUUUUAUUAAUCUGAAUGGAUAUGUCCCUUUUAUUUCCUUCCAAAGUAAUUGACUAUCAUUUGAUAUGGAAUGCAGAUUUAUUUUCCUUGUAACUAAUUUUCAUUGGUCGCCUUU
Molecule: long non-coding RNA, 3646 nt
Organism: Mobula hypostoma (lesser devil ray)
Lineage: Eukaryota; Metazoa; Chordata; Chondrichthyes; Myliobatiformes; Myliobatidae
Exons: 4
Source: RefSeq, a predicted model, not a curated record